Molecule: ribosomal RNA, 272 nt
Filed under: uncultured Staphylococcus sp.
Lineage: Bacteria; Bacillati; Bacillota; Bacilli; Caryophanales; Staphylococcaceae
Description: partial 16S ribosomal RNA
Rfam family: Bacterial small subunit ribosomal RNA
Source: RNAcentral
ACGUUAGCGGCGACGGGUGAGUAACACGUGGGUAACCUACCUAUAAGACUGGGAUAACUUCGGGAAACCGGAGCUAAUACCGGAUAAUAUUUCGAACCGCAUGGUUCGAUAGUGAAAGAUGGUUUUGCUAUCACUUAUAGAUGGACCUGCGCCGUAUUAGCUAGUUGGUAAGGUAACGGCUUACCAAGGCGACGAUACGUAGCCGACCUGAGAGGGUGAUCGGCCACACUGGAACUGAGACACGGUCCAGACUCCUACGGGAGGCAGCAGUC